RNAcentral lists this long non-coding RNA (1089 nucleotides) under Sus scrofa (pig). Its description in RNAcentral is "lncRNA (ENSSSCG00070006840.1)". The record is from RNAcentral. Lineage: Eukaryota; Metazoa; Chordata; Mammalia; Artiodactyla; Suidae.
AUGCGAUCACCUCCCACCUCCGAGGCCGGGGCAGCCAUCUUCAGCAGGGGGAGGAGCAGGGGAGCCUCUCCGAGCCGACCCGGGAGCAGAAAGGGAGGAGCGGCGCGGCGGGGCCCGGGCGCGCCCUUGCGGGGCGUGAGGGUCGGAGACCCGGGAGGCGGCAGUCCCGCCCUCCCGGCCGGCUCCCUCGCUCCGGGGGAAGGGGGAGGGGAGCCAGACAAAAACCCAAACCGCGUGCACCCAGCGGGCGAGCGCUCCCCCCCACCCCCCCGCCAAGCCGCCGCCAGCACCUGCCGCGGGGGCUCACCGCCGCCCCUCCGCUCCCUCCCCCGCCGCCGCAAAGUUUUCACUCCGGCUCUGGAGUGUAGACGGCUCACCGAGACCCCCUCCCCCCGGGCCAGCUCCUUUGCUCCCCACUCGCUGCACGCUCGUCAGCGCCCCUCGCCGAAAGCAACGACCGAGCCCUUGCCCGAGUCCCUGCCUGGAGCAAGGCCGCCCAGGCUCCGACCUGCCGCGGGCGGGGGGAGGGGGGGGGCCUGGUCGCCUGCCCUCCCGCCCGGUUCUUAUCGCCGCUCACACUCCGGGGGAAGUUGCCCCGAAGCCGUUGGCGGCCGCCCCCGCGGAACCCACGAACUUGGAGGAGAAGGGGGCGGGCGCCGGGCGGGGUGGGGAGCGCGGAGAACGCCCCCCGCCCGCCCCCCGCGGCGCGCUCACCUUUCAUGCCAGGGCCCCGCAGCUCCACCUCGGCUGACACAUGCUGGAGCCACCGUCGCCCAGUGUUUGUCUAAACUGCUUAUCUCACCCGGGGCUGCUCGGCGGUGGCGGCGGCGGCUCGGGCCCGCUGGGGAGGUGGAGCUUCCGGGGCCCCAGCCAAGAAACACCUGCUGCUGUCGCCGCCGCCGAGGACACACCCAAGCGCAACGCCGCCCACUCCCGGGCCACUGGCUCGCUCCGGGCUCCCUGACCUCAGCCAGCGGGAGGUGUCGGGUUUCAGCCGCAAACACGCGCGCACGCGCGCGCGCGCACCGAGGGGCGCCCGGGUACACCCGCGCGAGCACACGCCCCUCCCCAGCCACGCCGGCCAGGUGA